AGGGCUUUAGCUUAAUUAAAGUAUCCGCUUUGCACGUGGAAGAUGUGGGGUAAUAUCCCGCAAGUCUUA
RNAcentral lists this transfer RNA (69 nucleotides) under Cheilinus undulatus (humphead wrasse). Its description in RNAcentral is "tRNA-Ala". It matches the Rfam family "tRNA". Rfam says of the family: Transfer RNA (tRNA) molecules are approximately 80 nucleotides in length. Their secondary structure includes four short double-helical elements and three loops (D, anti-codon, and T loops). Lineage: Eukaryota; Metazoa; Chordata; Actinopteri; Labriformes; Labridae. The record is from RNAcentral.